AGCGAACGCUGGCGGCAGGCCUAACACAUGCAAGUCGAACGAACUCUUCGGAGUUAGUGGCGGACGGGUGAGUAACACGUGGGAACGUGCCUUUAGGUUCGGAAUAACUCAGGGAAACUUGUGCUAAUACCGAAUGUGCCCUUCGGGGGAAAGAUUUAUCGCCUUUAGAGCGGCCCGCGUCUGAUUAGCUAGUUGGUGAGGUAAAGGCUCACCAAGGCGACGAUCAGUAGCUGGUCUGAGAGGAUGAUCAGCCACAUUGGGACUGAGACACGGCCCAAACUCCGACGGGAAGCAGCAGUGGGGAAUCUUGCGCAAUGGGCGAAAGCCUGACGCAGCCAUGCCGCGUGAAUGAUGAAGGUCUUAGGAUUGUAAAAUUCUUUCACCGGGGACGAUAAUGACGGUACCGGGAGAAGAAGCCCCGGCUAACUUCGUG
This 433-nucleotide ribosomal RNA is filed under the name uncultured bacterium. RNAcentral's name for it is "partial 16S ribosomal RNA". It matches the Rfam family "Bacterial small subunit ribosomal RNA", at positions 29 to 507 of the family's 1533-position model. The record is from RNAcentral.